GACUGGGGCUACUUAUAGCCGCCGCCGGCCCAACAGUAAUUAGGGGCUUAGCCCAGUUAUCGUAUUUUUAUUUAGCUAUGAGAUUAUAUAUACUCAUGUAAAGACCUAUUUUCGAAUUAAGAAGAAGCAAACUUAUUUGCUCGGCUUCUGUCGGGAAACCCUAAACCCUAGCCGCCGUUGGCGGCCUUCUCCAUCUCGCGAUCACGGCGCCACAACGCCGUCGCUCGCGCCCACAACCUCGCCAAACCACCAGCCACCCAUAUAACCUACGCCUACGCCCUGGUAGGAGGCCAGCUCCUACCAAUCUGGUAUCAACUGUCUCAGGUCCGAUCAUGGCUGCCUCUCUGCCCACCGCCUCCCAGCUGCCACCCGUCACCACCAUGCCGCCGGCCCUCUCGGGGCUGCUCGCCGCCGGGCCACCAACCGCCACUGCAACCAUCGUCUUCACGCCGGAAGAGAUGACGGCGGUGCUUCAGGAGCUCGAGCAGGCGGUCGCGGGCAUUAGCACCUUCCUCUUGGGUCCCUAUGCCUCGCCGUCGCCCGACACUUUCGUCGCCAUCGUGGCGUAUCAGCAGCAGCAGAGGCCGCCGCCACCCGUCUCGGCCGCCCCUCCCUCCCCGGGAGUCGCGACUGCCGGCUCGGGGGCGCUACCGGGACCGGGGAUCCCCACCCACCAACUCUGGUUCCCCCCAUCGCCGUCGCCAUUGCGUCGUGGCUCGCCGGCUCCAUCAGACCGGUCUACACGACGACCCUGAUUCAGCCGCACCUCUGUCGGCCGCACUGUCACACUUGGCCACGCCGUAUGACGGGCCCUCAGGCACCCUCGUGCCCUACGGCGGCGGCGACGGCCCCCUCUUCCAGGGCCGGCCCCUGCUGCCAGCCUUCUCGGCCACGACCUCCUCAGCAGCCGGUGUCGAGGGCGUGCUCCUGCACGCUUUUCACGCCACGCAGCCGCCGCGUUUCUCCAAGCUCGAGUUUGUGACCUACGACGGCACCUUCGACCCUCUGAACUGGCUCAACCAAUGCGAGCAGUUUUUGCGGGGGCAACGCACCCUCGCGUCGCCUCCUACCACCUGCGGGGUGCGGCUCAGACAUGGUACAUAGCGCCCGCUAUUCGCAAUCGGUUACGCCUACCUGGCUCCGUAACAAAUCCGCUAUCCGCUAUUUAAAACCUUGAUGGUACUACGCCCUCGAACAGGACGAAGGCGGCAUGCCACUGUGGGAGCGAUUCCGUGAGCUCUGCAUGUUGCGUUUCGGGCCUUCGGUCCGCGGCAGCCGCUUGGCCGAGUUGGGACGCCUGUCGUUCCUCUCAACGGUGCAGGACUCCGCCGUCCGCUUCCAAGCCCUGGCCUGCCACGCCCCCAGCGUCUCGAGUCGCUAGCCAGUUGAGUUGUUCGUGGGUGGUCUGCCCGACCACAUCUGCGUCGAUGUGGAGAUGUGCGGGCCCCAAGACCUCCAGACGACCAUGUACUACGCUUGCGCUUUCGAGCAUCGCGCGACGGCCAUGCAGCACGCGUCGACAUCGUGGGCCCCUCGCUAGGUGCCUCCGCCACCACCUCCCGCGCCACAUCGGGCCCCGGCUGCAGCAGCACCCACUGCCGCGGUUCCGACGUGCCCGUUCCGUUGGCUCACGCUGGCCGAGCAACUCGAGCGUCGUCGCCAAGGCCUCUGCUACAACUGCGACGAGCCCUAUGUCCCCGGACUCGUGUGCCCACGACUCUUCUACCUCGAGGCAGCCGACUACAUCGAGGACGCCACCGUCGCCGCCGCUCCCGGUGCCGUGGCCGCCCUGCCAGGCGGGGAAGACGCCGCCGAGGUCGCUCCGGCGAAUGCAUUCGUGGCUCCACGCGCUCGCGGGUAUCCGGACGGAGAAAACCAUGUUGCUCCCGGUCACCAUCAAGGGCGAGCAACUCCUGGCGCUACUCGAUACCGGCUCCACCCAUAAUUUUCUGUCCGGGGCCACCAUGCACCGUCUCGCGUUUCAUCCGACUGGAGGGGAGCACCUCUGGAUCACGUUGGCCAAAGGUGACCGUCUUUCCUGCCAGGGCAUUGCUCGCAAUGUUCCUCUUGCCAUCGGUGACGAGCAGUUCUCCAUCACGUGCGCCGGCCUCGACUUGGGCUGCUUUGAUGUCAUCCUUNNNNNNNNNNNNNNNNNNNNNNNNNNNNNNNNNNNNNNNNNNNNNNNNNNNNNNNNNNNNNNNNNNNNNNNNNNNNNNNNNNNNNNNNNNNNNNNNNNNNNNNNNNNNNNNNNNNNNNNNNNNNNNNNNNNNNNNNNNNNNNNNNNNNNNNNNNNNNNNNNNNNNNNNNNNNNNNNNNNNNNNNNNNNNNNNNNNNNNNNNNNNNNNNNNNNNNNNNNNNNNNNNNNNNNNNNNNNNNNNNNNNNNNNNNNNNNNNNNNNNNNNNNNNNNNNNNNNNNNNNNNNNNNNNNNNNNNNNNNNNNNNNNNNNNNNNNNNNNNNNNNNNNNNNNNNNNNNNNNNNNNNNNNNNNNNNNNNNNNNNNNNNNNNNNNNNACGUUGCAGCCGGCAGGACUGCUGUAACCCCUUGAGGUUCUCUCACAGGUGUGGACGGACAUCUCCAUGGAUUUCAUCAUCGAGGGUCUUCCCAAAGUGGGCGGCAAGUCCGUCAUUCUCACGGUGGUAGACCGUUUCUCCAAGUACGCCCACUUCGUUGCACUGGGCCAUCCCUACACCGCCACAUCUGUCGCACACGCCUUCUUUGACGGAAUAGUCCGUCUCCAGGAUUCCCUUCGUCGAUCGUCUGCGACCGAGAUCCAGUGUUUACCAUCCACACCUGGCGUGAUCUUUUCAAGAUGGCGGGUGUCAAGUUGCGUCUGAGCACAGCGUUCCAUCCUCAGACCGACGGCCAGUCGGAGAUUGUGAACAAGGUGAUCGCAAUGUACUUACGUUGUGCUACAGGUGAUCGCCCACGUGCCUGGGUGGACGCUCGCAACACAUCCUACCACUCCGUUCGAGGUCGUUUAUGGCCGUCCUCACCGCCCAUGCGUCCGUUCCAGGAAGGGGUGGCUCAGACCGAGGUGGCAAGCGAGCUUCUCCGCAGCAGGGAUGAGGUUCUCGCGGAGGUGCGUCAACGUCUUCUCCAAGCGCAGCAGCUGUCCACGAAGUACUAUGACGCCCAUCAUCGCGAUGCAGAGUUUGCGGUAGGCGAUUGGGUGUGGCUGCGCCUUCUCCAUCGCACCACUCAGUCGCUUGACCCGUGCGCCAAGCGCAAGCUCGGGCCGCGUUACACCGGGCCGUUUCCGGUGGUGGAGCGCGUCGGCAGCGUGGCCUACCGGCUACAAUUGCCAUUGGGCGCUCGUAUCCAUGAUGUCUUCCAUGUGGGGCUGCUCAAGCCUUUCCGCGGUGAGCCACCGGCAUCUUCGCCGGUCCUUCCGCCAGCUGCCAACGGUCGCCUACUUCCAGGUCCCCAGAAGGUGUUGAGGGCUCAGCUGAGCCGUGGAGUUUGGCGACUUCUGAUUCAGUGGCAAGGCCUUUCCGAGGAGGACGCCACUUGGGAGCAGCUCGAGGAGUUCCGCCAGCAGUUUCCAGACUUCUAGCUCGAGGACGAGCUGUUUGCGUAGACGGGGAGAGAUGUUAUGACAGGGGCUACUUAUAGCCGCCGCCGGCCCAACAGUAAUUAGGAGCUUAGCCCAGUUAUUAUUGUAUUUUUAUUUAGCUAUGAGAUUAUAUAUACUCAUCAUGUAAAGACCUAUUUUGGCAUUAAGAAGAAGCAAACUUAUUUGCUCGCCUUCUGCCUGGAAACCCUAAACCCUAGCCGCCGCCGGCGGCCUUAUCCAUCUCGCGAUCACGGCGCCACAGCGCCGUCGCUCGUGCCCAUAGCCUCGCCAAACAUAAUGAAAUCAGUCAUCAAUAUACCUUUGCUGAAUUUAGCUGAAUUUAGAACAUAGCUGAAUUUAGAUUUGGACUUUCUAGGAAGUUAGUAUAAUUGAUAGUUGUGGUCAACUGAUUUCAUUAUGUUAUAUACUUUUAGUGCUCAUUCUACCAGAAUUCCUUCAUAGAAAUAGGAGACGGAUGUUUCCUUACAUGGGAGAGAGCAUAGAUGCUUCAGGCUCUGGACAGUCUGUUUACAAGGUCAACAAACAACAUAUGGAUAUUUUUCUUGAUAUAAAAAAUGCACGUCCCUUUUGGACAUUUUGAUGGCGUAAUGCACCUGAUCUGUAUGCAUUAGGAUUCAUAUUAGGUCUUCCUUUUCGUGGUUUUCAAUGAAGGUGUUUUCAUGCUGGCCAAUCUAAGACCUUCCUUCUUCAUACCUUCAACUGUCUGAUGGGUGACGCUUAUGUUUUAUCAGUCAUCAAUAUACCUUUGCCAUUUCUUUUGCAGAGCAAAGUGACGAGAUCAACUGCACCACAAGCUUUUAUGAUAAAUGUCAUCCACCUACAAAGAGCUAUGGCAAGGUGCGCAUUUUAGUGCCUUCACUCCUAGUUUUUGUAUGUUACAAUACUUUUGUGGUUAGUAUUUAGAAAUGUUUUGACAACUUUCCUGGUUAUAUAUGUAGGGUGAUGGAGCAGCAUUCACUCUUGAACUAGAGUACUUUAACUUAGGCAAACGUGCUUCCCAAGUGAAAGAUCGGAAAAGAGCACCGAUCACAGUGAAUCAUCAACCAAAAAGGCGUACCGGUUGUCAAAAUAUUGCUGACAAGAAACAUUUAGAUACAAUUGGUAAGAAGUUAGGUAGGAAGAUCUGUACAGAAGAUCAACAGAAUAACUCUGUCAAGCCAAAGGGCAUGUCCAGUAAACUACAAACAGAAGAUCUCACUUUUGGGACCAAGAGGUAUUCACUCCUAGUUGCUGAUCCAAUUCAUCUGUUCUUUUACUUUUAGUAGUUCUAUGAGCUGUGUUUUCUCUUCUUUAGCUGUUGUCUGUUUUGCUUAUGCAUCUGAAACUUUUCAAUUUGUUCUUGCUGUACAACAUUGAUGCCUUGUUGUGAUAUUUUGAUUGUGUGUGUCUCCAUUUGUUCAUUUUUUUUCUGUUUCCACUCUGUAGCAACAAGACACUUUUGUGUUCCAUUUAUAAACAAAUUUCAAUAUAAAUAAUUCUGGUAUUUUUUCUGAUCUGGUAGACACUGAUAUCUUUGUUUUGUUUGUGUCUACGGAGGGCUUGUUAUCAUCAUUAGAGACUUUAAAGGUUAUAUGUCUUGUUACUGUAGCAAUGGCGUGCUCAUUUAUCUUCAAUGCUAUAUCUUCUUCAUAUAGUCCAUAACGUCACCAUUAGCUGUUAGUGGAAUUUAAUGAAAUAAUGAAAAAGUGGUCUUAUGACCUUGCAUAUACGACACAUAGUGCCCUCAUAGCCAGCUAUUUGGAUUAACCUAAUGAAGUCACCAUGUGGGAAAAAUUUGCCUUAUCUUUUCUAGUUUAUAAGAGGAACAUAGUUGCAUCUGUAUAGUUCUUAUAAGUGAUAUUCGUCUUUAAAACCACCAUAUGUGGUAUAAACCCUGGACCCUGACUGUAUAUUGUAGUUGUGUUGGAUGGGAAGCCAAGGCUUGUAGCCAUGGCGUCCCAGAGCUCGUGGGUGUUAGGGUAGGAGAACAGAUUUCCUGUGGGCUUGGGCUCCUGUUGGUAUGUGGUACCCCACAUAACAUUUUGUUUCUCUGAUAAAUUGUUCUGAUGUGCAGGUGGGACCAUUCCAAGAAUCAUGCCUACCAAUAUGGGAGGUUAAAUAGACGAAACGAGAAGAAGGUGAAUAUGCUGACAACUGGUUCGCCUUUUUCUUUGACUGUCAUGUGGUAUUCUUUUUUACAUUCCCUCCUUAUGAAAAUGAAAUUUGUUAUCAGAACUAAAAUUGCUAUAUGCAUCUAGCGUUGUACUUAUCAUGGUGUAACAUUAUGGGUACAAAUACAAACGUUGUUUCUGUUAUUUCAUCCAUCACAUUUUCUGAAUAAUAAAUCUAUUUUUAGCAUAAACAGUAGGGCUCCUACUCUGGAUAAUAAAUCUAUUGAGCUAAAACCUAGAUCUGCCAAAUACAAAUAUUGGUCAUCAAAUGAUGGAUGGUGUUUGGAUUUGAUUCACUGAGAAGAUCAUCAUUGAUGCUUCUAUACUUCAUCAUUCAUUGAUGAUUCAAUACUUCAUCAUUAAUUUCAUUAAUCUUAGCUGCAAAUGUUUGACAUGAACUAAAAUUUCUACAUAUGUAUUCCAAUCAUGCUCUUAUCUUUGUCAGGAAGUAGUUCUCUUGGAUGACGAGGAUAUAGAACCUUCUACAUCAGUUGAUGUUGAGAUGGCUAAUAUAUGGUAAAUUGUUAACAUAAUAAGUGAUAAUGUUUCUUCCUGUUAACAUUUCAUUACUUUAUAUUGUAAAUUAGUGACCAAUUAUUUUGUUCAAUUAAUCAAAUCGGACUUCUGUAGGGACAUAUCACAGAUCUACUAUCCAUCAAGGUGAGAAUCAUGUAUUGUUAGAGGUAUUGACAGAGGGAUUCUCCUCCCAUACUAAUGUCUACUACUGUCUACAGGACUGAUCCAGAAACUGUUGAGCUGACAUAUUCUGACAUAAAAUGUCUUGACCCUGAAGUUUUUUUAAAAUCACCUGUCAUAAACUUUUACAUCCAGUAAGUAAUAUAUUUCUUUAAUGCUUGUGACCUUAUUUUCCUCUUUCUUCUGUUAGUAAGUUCAACGUUCAAGUGCUCUCAUGCAGCUGUUGGAAAGUCUGCAUGGGUAUGACUAACUGCAUUUAUUUAUAGAUGCCUUAUUAUUAUUAUUAUUGUUAUUAUUAUUAUUAUUAUUAUUAUGUGUAGUUCUUACCUUAGAUGCCACUUAAGGACUAUCAAAUGUUAUGUAGAAUUAGAGAAGUAUGUUUUGUCAUGUACUCACUCUAUCACUGAGCUACUAUAGGGAAUAAUCAGUACCAACACACUGGUUAAUGAAUGCCGUUGUUAAAAAACUUUUAUGGUGUGUAUAAACUAUAAAGGACUAGGUGCAAAAGUUUAUCCAGUCGAAUGAUCAGGAAUUUUCAAAAUAUCUUACAUUUACUGUGAUAAUGCUCCCUUGAAGAUGGAAAUGUUGGUGCUGUAUUUGUUUUUCUAGUUUGGAGCGUUUAGCUGAAUACACAUCAGAAUUCAAUAAUAUGCUUUCUAGUUUUUAGUACAUGUUGUCUGUCCGUUCUGACUAUGGCAAUGUCAGGUACCUAAAAAAAUCCAGGCCUUGUGAUGACUUGUACAUCUUCAAUACGUAUUUCUAUAGCAAACUUGAAGAAGCGUUAUCCAGGACGGUAUGCUCUUUGAUCUUACUUUGUUGUAUUUAGUUAAUUAUAUGAUGUUCAAUAUUACAUGCCCUUCCAAAUCCAUGGUUUGAAUUUAAUUGGUACAUGAGUUGUUAAGUGGAAGCUUCAUUGUUUCCAUACAGCGAUGCACACUAACACUUGUGAUUUUCUGCUGUAGUGCACUGCAUUCUCUCAUUGCAAAGUUAACACCCUGGUGUCAUUCAAUCCACAUUAUUAUUUUUUGUACUAAUUUUUCCAUGUUCUAUUUAUUUUCCGAAGCUUCUUUUCACCUUGUUGAUAAGGUUAGUAAAAUAUGGGGCGGAAAUGUGCAUGUAAAUUUAAUAGUUAUAUUUCUUUGUACUUUUUCUUGAGACAGUUAUUUGAAUUGCAAAGGUAUAUUCCCACUUUACGUUCCAGGAAAUUGUACAAAACCAUGGCGUUUAUUUGGAUGUUUAAUGUGUACUCCCUCCAUUCCUAAAUAUAAGUCUUUUUAGAGAUUCCACUACAAACUACAUACGGAUGUAUACAGACAUACUUUAAAAUGUAGGUUCACUCAUUUUGCUCUGUAUGUAGUCCGUAAUAAAAUCUCGUAUGUAGUCCGUAAUAAAAUCUCUAAAAAAGACUUAUACCCCCUUUGUACCAACUUUGUACUAAAGUUAGUAUAAAAUUGAGUCACUUAUUUUGGGACGGAGGGAGUAUUUAGGAACAGAGGGAGUAAAUUGCUGCAAUAUGCAUGGGUUUUCGGUUUUCAACACGAUAUGUUCCAGAAAGCUGGUUCAUAGAUGUUUAUCCGGAAACUAUCGUACUUCGCCAUUACACUUCCAUUUUGUAAAUUUCCAUUUGUUUAUUACCUUUUGCAUGUUGGGACUCUUCUUGACCCCCUCAAAGCUAACAUUUGAAAGUGCUGACUGACUUGUGGAUUUGUUCUAGGGUGAGUGUGACUCGCAGUUCAGCAAGUUAAGGCGAUGGUGGAAAAAUAUUGAUAUUUUUAGGAUACCAUACCUCCUUUUGCCAAUUCAUGGACAGUAAGUUUCUUAUUCGUUGGAUGAUACUGCAAGUUAAAACCGGACGUGCUUAUCUGCUACUCCCAAGAAUAUGUGAUUAGUUUGGUUGAUAUCUGACAUGAGGGUGUGUUUGUUGGUCAACAGAUAACGUUCUAGUGUAUCUAGUUAUCAUAUACUUAUAAGAUGGUGAUUGCCUCAUGUUCUGUAAAUUAGGAUGCAUUGGAGCUUGGUCAUUAUCUUCAUGCCUGCAAAAGAGAUAAAAUGCGGGCCAAGAGUGUUUCACUUGGACUCUCUAGGAAUACAUUGCAGUGACAAGGUUUUUGGUGUGAUUGAGAGGUAUGUUUCAUGAUACUAUGUGAAAAAUAGGUCUUGAUCCCAACCAUUUACAAUCCAUAUGAUUUAUUCAGGACUGGAGGGUGCUGUAGUGCUGUGUACUGUCCCUGUAGGGGAAUCUGUCAUGCUGAACAUGCCUUCUUUUAGUGUUCUGUCCAUGCUGUUGAAAUUGUAUGUUUUCGCAGCUACCUCGUAGAAGAAUGGCGCCAUCUACAGAAGGAUUCUUCUUAUGAUAUUCCCUUUUCAGGCAAAAUAUGGAGAAAUCUUUCAAGAAAUAUAAAUAAGGAAAAAGUCGAGGUAAGAACCGUAGUGUUUUCAGUGAUGUUCAAAGGGGCUGAUAUUUUUAUUUAUUUUUUCGGGUGCAAAAGUGGCUGAUUACUUAAGAAUAUAUGAACUUCUAAUCAUCGUGAAUUUAAUUACAAUGAACUUGCUGGCUUUACAGUACCUAUUCCUUCGCUGUGUUUUUUGUGCCAGUUUUCUGAAGCUACCCUUUGUUCACUUGCAAGGUUCCACAGCAGCAAAACGACUUUGACUGUGGUGUCUUUAUGCUUUACUACAUCGACAAGUUUAUUCAAGAGGAACCAGAUAGUUCGACAGGAGUGCGGCCUUUCAAGGUGUAUAUUUAACUGCUUCAUUAUUUUUAUCCAGUAUAAAAAUCAGGAGUCUUGACUUUUGUGCUCUUGCUGGUUUUUAGUUUGGACGCAAGUGGUUCAGCCCUGAAGAAGCUUCGGCGCUGCGGAAGCGAAUACGAGUUCUCCUGUUUGAGAUAUUUCAGAAUGCUCCACGGAAUGAUCGAAAUUUAGAGUCACAUGACGAUGAUCACUCGGAAGAUGAAGAAGAUAAGGUUAGGGAUACAAUCAUGAUCGUUUGAAUGUAACGGUGAAUGAAUGAAGUCAAGCAAUGGAAAGAUCACGGUGCAGUUUUGCAUCAGAACACUGUCUCUGAUGGCUGUAGAUGCGCUAAGGGUCCCAAUUUUGUGUAUAUGCUGUUUUGUGGACAAAGUUUGAAAGCUAUAACGAUGCAGCAAAGCUGACCGAUAUAUCUUAUAUUUUCGGUAUGCACAAAAUGAUUCUUGUUGCACUCUUUUUGACUUGCCCGUGGAAAUUACUCUCUUUGUUUCAAAAUACUCCCUCUUUAAUAUAAGGCGCAUUGGUUUUUAAAAGGUCAAACGUGUGCAUGUUUGACCAAGUUUUAAGGAAAAUACUACCUCCGUCCUAAAAUAAGUGACUCAAUUUUGUACUCCUUUUGUCUCAAAAUUCUUGUCUUAAGUUUAUUUAGAAAUUAAUGUUUCUAAAUAUUAAAACGUGACUAGAUACAUUCAUAUCUAGUCAAAUCUAAGACAAGAAUUUUGGGUCGAAGGGAGUAUUAACUUUAGUAAAGUUGAGUCACUUAUUUUGAGAUUGAGGAGUAUAUCAAUAGCUACAGUAUCAAAUUAGUUUUGUAUUCUUUAGAAAAUGCAUUUCCAUACUACAUAUAUUUGAUAGCGUAGAUCUUGGUACAUUUUUCUGUAGACUUGGCGAAACUUUGAACAAAACCUAAACUUUAAUUAAUUUGGAAUGGAGCUAUACAUCUUGUGUUGUCUGGAAGGAUGAAGAACAAUGUGUAGGCACAAAAUGUGCCCAUACAUAGUAAGGCCCUGCUUGGAUUAGCGUUUUCAUCCAUAUUAGGCUGGUUUAUACACGCCUGGACGGGUCGUUUUGUUUCCAGUAGGAAAAUCAGCAAUGUUGGGUAAUUUACACCUGUAAAACAAGUACAAGUACAUAAAUUUAUGAACUUACAUGAGCUGACUAUUAAAUUCAUAGUUUAUCCAGCUUUUGUAUACAAUUUCACUUUGUCCACUAGAUUUACUUUCAGAAGAUGUGUCAAAUGUCAAACUCAGACUUGUAAACAUUGCCACAAUAAAAAAAUGCUACUUUAGAAGUGAAAGAGACAAUUCCCCCUGGCCUUCCGGUAUUUCAAGAUUUAAUUCACCAUCAGUUAAAACUAAAUAUAAGCCAUGCGAUGUAGAAAGUUAUAUCAUUGUACAACCCAGAUUUUUUUAGUACAAACUAAAUGGUAUAAAACUUUCUGGCAUGUAACCCACAUUUAAUUGGUGGGCACAUUAUCAGCUGGGACAGAGUUGAUGCAGAUUUUUUUAAUACAAAAACAUUGAAUUUGAAAUAAAGGAUAUCUAGCUUAUACCAUUCGGCAGACUGUGACUGGCAUAUCCAAUGGAAAUUGAAUCGGUCGUUGUACGUUGAAAGACCGUCUGUAUUCGUUGAAAUGAUGUGGUGAGUCACUUUCCAUGAUGCAUUCAGAGCGAAGAAUUAUAAAGUGCAUUAGAUAAACGGCAACUGGUAUCUCAAAAUAAGGUUACUUCAAAUUUGCCAUGAAUAUCGUCACAGGGCAAUAAGAUGACUGGCACAGGAUGUCAUCAAAAGUUUUAAGCAGUGGAACUACAGAUUGCAUCAGCUAAAAUCAAAUGGUAUAGUCCACAAGGCAUGUAGCUAGUGUUAUUGGAAUCUGCCAGGGGAAGGCUAAACUGAAGGCUCUUGUAUGGUGACCCACCAUUCUUGUUAUAGAGGUGUUGCAAAACCUGAAAUUGCAAACCAGAGCAAAAAUGGGUCAGAACAAGAAUGCUAUCACAAGACAAAGAUAACUGGUGGAAGUCCCACCAUCACGCCUAUCUAUAUGAGUUGUGGAGAUCCAACAAAUCUGACCCGUUCAACCGCAUCUAUCCAACGGUCUACGUCGCUCCGGUGUUUAAACUUGAACAUGUUUAGCACCCUCCACUAACAAAUAUCAUGCCUAAUGUCAAUAGCAGCAUUAACCAAGUUAUUAUAUCCUACCUAAUAUUAACAUAUAAUUUAUAUAUUGCCUUUUAUUAAUGUGCAAUACAAUUAAUAGCUUGUCUAAUAUUAACGUCCAUUACACGUACACAAUUACUAGUUACAGAAGGCCAUCCAACUACCAAAGUGUUGAACCGGUAUGGCCCAGCCCAUACAAGUUAUCUCUUAGGGCCUAGGCCCAAGUAGUGAGACUAACCUAAAAGGAGGCUCCCAGCCAUCUCCCGUUCCUGAGACAGCCGCCACACACAAAACACUUGUGCUGGAGGUACUCCUCUCUCCCUCCCGUACUCCUCUCUCCCCCCGUUCCUACAUGGUAUCAGAGGCCAGCGAAGGCGGGGCCUGAGAAGACGACGGCGACGUCCGGCGAGGUGGCGGCAGAUCUGGGCGGCGUCCGGCAAGGCAGCGGCGGAUCUGGGAGGCGCGGCGUGGCUGCGCAGGAGGUGUGGCUCGUUGGAGAGGAAGGAGAGGUGGAGCUGCUGUGCUGCGCGGCAGAGGAAGAAGGAGAGGUGGAGCUGCUGUGCUGCGCGGCAGGAGGAGGAAGCUGAGGAGCGGCUUGGUCUCCAACGGGCUGUGGUGCUGCGGGAGGAGAAGAGGAGAAGGGUAGUGGAGAAGGGCAGCUCCUUGUUGUGCUGCUGUGUGUGCGUGUGUCUGCAGGGGACCGGGAGCUGGAGAACUGCUGCGGGGGUUGGCUGCUGUUGGAGGCCAAGAUCCUCUGGAACUGCUGCUGUUUGCAGAGGAAGGAGGAAGAGAACUGCUGCUGUUUGCAGAGGAAGGAGGAAGAGAAGUGCUGCUGUUUGCAGAGGAAGAAGGGAGAGAACUGCUGCUGGAGGAAGAGGCUGUGGUUGCUGCUUGCACUUGGAGCUGCUGAGUUGCUGGGUGCUGCUGCUAGCCAGGGGGCGUAAAGGGACCAACCGUGCAGCUGUAGGGCUGUGCUGCUGAGGGCUGCUGCUGCUGUUUACCGGAUCGGAGAUGACUGAACCAAAUGCGCUUGCUGAGGCUUUCGAGAAGCUCGCUAAGAUCCUCGCGGAGUCCAACUCCAACUCUGGGGCCAUCGUUCCUCGACAGGAAGUGGCUCAGAAGCUCGAAAUGUCACCCCUGGACAUGAAGCUAGAGGGGGCCACAAAUUAUUUGAGCUGGUCCAGAAGGGCAUUGCUGGCUGUGGAACAGAAGGAACUUGAUGGGCACUUAUUGGGUGCGGUUGAUGAACCCGGAGACAAGACUACCGCGGAGGGAAAGCGGUGGAAGGUCAUAAACUCUGUGCUUGUUGGCUGGUUGUUGAACUCAGUGGUGCCCUCCAUUGGUGGCUCUGUGGAGGGACUAUCCACGUCCGCCGAGAUAUGGAAGACUCUAUCCACCCAAUACUCAGGCAAGGGUAAUUUCAUGCUAAUUGCUCAGAUUGAGGGGAAGAUCAGUCGGCUGCGCCAAGGCGAUGACAUGUCAGUGAUGGCAUAUGUAGCAGAGCUGCGGGCUUUGUGGGCAGAGCAGGAUAACUGUGAUCCUCUGGAACUCUAUGAUGCGGCGUGCAUCGAGUCAGGGCGCAAGUGGAUUGCACGCAGGCGCGUGCUGAAACUGUUGGAAGGCCUCAGAGGUUGCUUUCAUGGCAGGGGGGCUUCCCUGUUGCACCAACCUCUCUUACCAACUAUUGAGGAGACUAUUGCAACAAUGUCUCAAGAGGAGGUGAGGCUAUCUCUUGCGCAUGCAAACGUGAAGUUUGUGCCGGCUUCGACAUUUGCAGUCACUGAGCGCAUGGAGUGGGGAGAUCCCAAUAGAUGUCAUAUUUGUGGGGAGGUAGGUCAUUGGAAGAGGGAAUGUCCAACUCGUGGUAGAGGCAGGGGAUACAACAGAGGGGGCACUGGCAGAGGAAGGUAUGCUCGAGGCAGAGGUGGAUACCCAUGGAACUCAGGGGGUCAACUUUCUAGGGGCAGAGGUGGCUACUCAGGAAACUCAGGGGACAGGGCGCAUAUGGUAGUUGAAGAGGACACUGGGACGUCACAGGGCAAGGGAGUUGAUGAGGCUGCCUAUGGAGACUUUGCUCACUGGGCCUCCACUGAUGAAGGUAAUUCGAUGAAGGCAUGUCUUCCUCCUAAUGAGAGUGCUUUAGAGUGGGUCUUAGACUCUGGAGCAUCUAAGCAUGUUGCGGGUAAUUCCUGUGUGUUUGAGUCUUACCAUAAGCAUGCUCCUACUCACAAGGGCACUAUACAAACUGCCGAUGGUACCAAUCAGCCUGUCGUAGGGGUUGGCACAGUCAAAUGCACUUCAGCCAUCUCAUUAUCGUCAGUUUUGCAUGUGCCAGCUUUUUCUGUCAAUUUGGUCUCUUUCAGUGCUCUCAUUGAUCAAAUAGACUGUCGUGUGAUCCUUGACAAGUUCGGUUGCUUGAUUCAGGAGCGACAGACGAGCCAGACGGUUGGGACUGGCACCAGGCGUAGGGGGCUCUGGUACAUGGACCAGGAGGUGCAACCGGACUUGGUGUGUGCUGCGACCAUGGAGGACAAGGAGAAGCAGGCGAUGAUCCAUCAUUGUAGAAUGGGUCAUGUAUCUUUUGAUAAGAUGAGUAGAAUCUUUCCGGAUGUUAUGUGUGGAAUAGGCAAGGGCAAGUUGACAUGUGAUGCUUGCGAAUAUGCAAAACACACACGAGCCUCAUAUGUGAGUAAGGGGCUUAGGAGCAUAUCUCCUUUUAUGCUCAUUCAUUCGGAUGUAUGGACUAGCCCAGUAGUGUCAAUGAAUGGAAAGAAGUAUUUUGUUACCUUUAUUGACUGCUAUUCUCGUAUGACUUGGAUUUACUUGAUGUGUCAGAAGGAUGAGGUGUUUAGCUGUUUUCAGAACUUCCAUGCUCUUGUAAAGAACCAGUUUCAGGUGCAGGUCAACGUGCUCAGGACUGACAAUGGUACAGAGUAUGUGAACAAUAUUUUUGGGGAUUUCAUGGCUAACCAAGGGAUUCUUCAUCAAACUUCAUGUCCGGACACCCCACCUCAGAAUGGAGUGGCCGAAAGGAAGAAUCGUCAUAUUCUUGAGGUUGCUCGGUCAUUAAUGUUUACCAUGAAUGUGCCUAAGUUCUUAUGGGAUGAAGCAGUUAUGACAGCCAUGUACCUGAUCAACCGGACACCUUCCAGGAUAUUAGGUAUGAAAUCUCCGUCUGAGUUGCUCAUUGGAGAUAAUAAGUUUGUUGUUUCCCCAAAGUUGUUUGGCAAUACUUGCUUUGUUCGUGAUCACCGACCAUCUGUUGGAAAGCUUGAUCCUCGGGCAGUGAAGUGUGUCUUCCUGGGAUACUCUUCUAGUCAGCAGGGGUAUAAAUGUUGGUCUCCCUCUGAAAAACGCAGGUUCGUGAGUAUGGAUGUUACCUUCAGGGAGUCCGAGCCAUUCUAUGGUACGCCGACUGAUCUCAGUCUGCUAUUUGCAGAGCUUGACCACCUACAUCAUGUGCACGAUGGUCAAGAGGGGGAGAAGGAUGUGUCUCAUACUCAGGGUGAUUCUGUGGGCAAUAACACUGCUAAGGAUGUGCAAGUUCAGGUCCAACCAAUAGUGGGAACAAUUCCGGUUAGUACUCUCACUGAUGAUGAUGUGCAGGUUCCUGUCGAGCCAACCGUCGAUACACUUAAGAUUGGUGCUCUUCGGGUUCCUGUUCGGGAUCGAUAGCAGACGAACACCCUAGUGUACUCUCGACGGCAACCACACGUGCAAGGGGAGCAGCAAGGCAGUGAGGCAAAAGUGCAGGGGGAGCAACAAGGCAAUGAGGCAAGAGUGCAGGGGGAGCAGCAAGAUAGUGAGACGAGCUCAUCUGACACAGUGGAGCUGCCCAUUGCAUUGCGAAAGGCUACACGUGAAGCGACAAGAAAGGGUGAAGUAGCAAGGAAGGCUCUACCGAAGGAUGAUGCUUGUGAUGAUCUUGAUAUUGGCAAUUUUGUGUCUUAUAAGGCUUUGUCACCCACAUAUAAGGCGUUUGUUGCCUCCCUUCAAACUGUGUCAAUUCCAAAGGAUUGGAAGGCUGCAAAGCAAGAUCCGAGGUGGCGUGAAGCGAUGAUAGAAGAGUUGGAAGCACUAAGGAAAAACAAGACAUGGGUGCUAACCACAUUGCCGGCAGAAAAGAAAGCAGUGAGUUGUAAGUGGAUCUAUACAGUGAAGCAGAAUCCUGAAGGGAAGGUGGAACGGUAUAAGGCCAGAUUGGUCGCCAGAGGAUAUAGUCAAACUUAUGGAAUUGACUAUGAUGAGACGUUUGCUCCCGUGGCAAAGAUGAACACAGUAAAGAUAUUGGUCUCCUGUGCUGCAAACUUUGGGUGGAAGUUGCAUCAAUUAGAUGUCAAGAAUGCCUUCUUGCAUGGUGAGUUGCAAGAAGAAGUGUACAUGGAAAUACCACCAGGUUUUGGUACUUCAGAGACUACGGGGAAGGUAUGCAGGCUGAAGAAAUCCUUGUAUGGACUAAAGCAAUCACCAAGGGCCUGGUUUGAUAGGUUCAGACGUGCUGUCCGUGGUAUGGGGUAUUGUCAGUGUAACGGUGACCAUACGAUGUUCUACAAGCACUCUGAUCGGAAGAUCACCAUUCUUGUUGUUUAUGUGGAUGACAUUAUCAUCACUGGAGAUGAUGAGGAGGAAAUAGAGAGAUUGAAGGGUUGUUUGAGCAAGGAGUUUGAGGUAAAGGAUUUGGGUAACCUAAAAUACUUUCUUGGCAUUGAAGUGGCUCGGACAGAGAAGGGAAUCUCUUUGUGCCAACGAAAAUACACCUUGGAUCUCUUGAGUGACGUGGGCAUGAUGGGAUGUCGUACUGCCCCUACUCCGAUUGAACAAAAUCACCAAGUGACAGCACAAUCAGGAGAGCUAGUGAAUAAGGAAGAGUAUCAGAAACUGGUUGGAAGGUUGUUGUACUUGUGUCAUACCAGGCCUGACAUUACGUAUGCUACGGGGGUGGUGAGCAGAUACAUGCAUGAACCAAGGAGUGGGCAUCUUGAUAUUGUGCACAGAAUCCUGAGAUACUUGAAGGGGACUCCGGGUAAAGGGUUGUGGUUUGGGAAGAGUGGACAUUUUGAGGUGGAUGGCUAUAGUGACUCUGACUGGGCCAGUUGUCAAGAUGAUAGAAGAUCAACUUCUGGUUACUCGUGUUUGUGGGAGGAAAUUUGGUAUCAUGGAGAAGCAAGAAACAACCGGUUGUGUCUAGAUCAACAGCAGAAGCUGAGUAUAGAGCAUUAUCUCAAGGGUUGUGUGAGAUGCUCUGGGUGAAGUACCUACUGAGCGAGUUGAAACUUCUGAGGAAGGGGCCCUUGAAGGUGUGGUGUGACAAUCAGUCAGCUAUAGCCAUCGCUAAUAACCCAGUUCAACAUGAUAGGACAAAGCAUGUGGAAAUUGAUCGGUUCUUCAUUAAGGAGAAGCUUGAUGCCGGGGUCAUCAGCCUUACUCAUGUCAGUUCUGGGCAGCAGUUUGCAGAUUGUUUGACAAAGGGUUUGGGAACAAAGGAUUGUAACUUGGCAUGUGACAAGAUGGGAAUGAUAGAUAUCUACCACCCAUCUUGAGGGGGAGUGUUGAACCGGUAUGGCCCAGCCCAUACAAGUUAUCUCUUAGGGCCCAGGCCCAUGUAGUGGGACUAACCUAAAAGGAGGCUCCCAGCCAUCUCCCGUUCCUGAGACAGCCGCCACACACAAAACACUUGUGCUGGAGGUACUCCUCUCUCCCUCCCGUACUCCUCUCUCCCCCAGUUCCUACACAAAGUAUAGUGGUAAAGGAUGGCUUUUAGUGAAAGGCGAGGUUUUCGAGUCGACAAGUCGUUCUGGGGUAGCGACUCUUGACAAGUCGACCCUGCAGUUGCGAGUCAUCGACCAGUCAACAUGGUGAUUCGACCUUGCAGUUGCGACUCGUAGACUAGUCGUUCGACUAAAAAACAGUGGUGAAAGGUAUUGGCAGGUGUACAAGCAACAUAAAAUUCGUGAAUGUUUCAGCAGCAGAGAUAGUAUCAAGAUGCUCCAUACGAUAUCAUGUAUCAAUAGAAUAUGCCAGUAUAUCCAUUUGGUAAGGACAUAAAUUCUUCAAGUGAUCAAGUGAACCAAAAUAAGCAAGAUGCAACAUUAUUGAGAGUCUAUAACAAAUUAAGCUAGCUUGCAAAACGAUCUUAUAUUAUUGGGACGGAGGGAGUAUUUUGGUACAAGGGCUACAUACACCUUGCCUACAACAUUUGGUUGUAUAUGCCAUUACCGUCUUUUGGGUUGUCAGUUUGUAUACACUAUAUGCCCCAUAACCUAUGUGCCUUGCCAUGGUACUGUAAAGUACAUUAAUGGAUGAUCAAGCUAUUUGACCUGAUCCGAAUUAUAAUAAAAGAUGAAAUCAACGAAGCAAGAGGAACACAUAACAUUUUUCCAAAAGGAAAAAAGCAGUUAACAAAAUGCUUACAGACAGAAAAUGGACAGGCCAUACUAUAGUUGUGCUUGCUAAGAGUAAGGAGCUCAAGUAAGGAAUAUAACAAUUAGAUACUUUCAAGGUUUGUACAGUACUUCAUUAAAUGUUGUUGAUAGGAAGCCAAAAAAGCAAAGCCCAACACAAACAAUAAAAUUCAGUUAAGGACUUAAGGUACAUACUACAUAGGGACAUCCGGACAUGCAUUCUGUGUUGGGUCACUUUGAUUAUCCUAAUCACGAAAGCAAGCAAGAACAACAAUAAAGUAGUGAAUGCCAUCCAUUAACCGCAAAACAGGACAAACCAAACAAUAUUAGAUUGAAACUGAGGCACACACUAGCCACUAGCUUCCCACUACAACCAUUCUACCUCAGGCAUUGCUAUGUUCAUAUUUGAAGUGCACCUGAUUUUCAGUCUGGUCUUGAAUAGCCGCCAUCUCAAUCAUGGGAAUGCAGAUAUACCAAAAAGUUCAAAACUAACAAAGCACUAUUGUGUUUAAAGAUACAUCAAACUUCAAACCUAAUAGAAAGGAGAACAAAAAUCUAAAUCUGACAUAAUUCACUAGAUGACUAUAGUUCAUUUUUUGAACUUUUAACAUUUCCACGCCUUAUCCAUGUAAGGAGACCCAGCAAGCCAAAUUAAGCCAUUUUACCUUCGGAGAGCCAGCCCCAAGACCCGGGCUUAAGACCGAGCAUGGAGGUGAGCAGCGCUGAUGCCGUCGCGCUGUGCAGCGGCAUCAGCCCCUGCACGCCGCCUAGAGCCGCCACCGGCACCCUGCACAACGAAGGCCGCGCCAAAUCUGAGCAAACCAUACUGCCCAAGUACGGCCAAUCCGAGGAAAAGAAACACCGAGGUGCCUACCUCGAGAUCGCGAGGCGCCGGCGCGGGGCGCGCGGCAGAGCGGAGGCCCCCAGCUCCGGGGACUGGGCAACUGCCGGCCUGGAAAACGCCCUGGAGAGAGUAGAUGGAGAAGCGGAGCGCAGCCCCGCGAGAGCUCGCCGCGCGCCGCCAGCCGCCGUCGCCAUGGCUGGAGUGGGUUUGGGCUCUAAAACCCUGGUCGUUGCCCUUUUGGGCUUCUUUUACCGUUUGGACGCCGAGGGCCUGCGAGACCUGAGUCGCCGAGGGCUCAGGUACGGUGGACGUUUCUCAACAAAAUAAAAAAGGUACGGUGGACGGGGUCUAUACGACUGAGCUGUGCCACGUUUGGUGGACUAGCUUUUUGUUUUUAAACACGGUAUACAAUCAAAGUUGUUCACCUACGCAAGCAUACAUUUCUUUUUAUAAUCGUACACACAUAUUUGGUUGACAUAUUCUCAAGAUCGAUCAAGGUGUCACAUAUGACAUCAUAGAAACAUGUACUCGGCUGACAUAUUCUCAAGAUUGAUCAAGCUGUCACAUACUACAUCAUAGAAACGUCUUUUCCAUUGAACACACAUCGUUAUAAGGUUUGAAAUAAAUCCAUAAAAAUGUGAACAUCAAUGUAAGUAUGAGGCUUGAAUUCUGGUGGACUGAGCAUUGUCCUCCUAACUUUCCAACCACAGGUUGGUUUACAUCAGUUUUUUCUUUCGAAAACAUUACAAAAAUAACUUUGGAUUUUUAGGCACGACAAAUCUGAUGUUUUUCAUGACAAUUUAUAUUAACAUGAUGAUGAUAAAUUUAGUUUGCAAGUAUGAUAAUUUUCUGACAAAAAUACACUGAGACGGAUUUGCCAUACUUUCUAACUGAACUUGCCAUCCUCGAAGAAUAUACAUAAUUUGCCAUGGAAAAUGUUCAAUUUUGCCAUGGUCAAAAAUUUGACGAGCGAAGUACUUUUGUAAGAAAAUGCCCUUGGGCGCUCUUUAUUAACUUCAAAUAACAUUUACAUCAAAAAAGAUGUAUGGAAUAGUAAAACUAGGUGAGUCAUCAUCCACUAGUAGAAAACAAGGCUUUGGUCCACGUGAGAAAAGAGCUUCAAUCCCGGUUCUAUUACAAACCGGGACCAAUGGGUGCACGAGUCCCGGUUCGUGAGCCCAGGACACCAGCUGGGCCAGGGUCUCGGUUCGUCUGACCGCUUUGGUCCCGGUUCCACAUACGAACCGAUACCAAUGGUCCUGCCCCCUGGCGCAGCACCUUUAGUCCCGGUUCGUGUCUAGAACCGGGAUAAAAGGUGAGUCUUAUGUCCCGGUUCAAUUUCAGGGUCAUUUAGCUCAAAGUAAUAAGUAAAUUCAUGAAAAAUACCUAAUGAAGUCACAAAGGAUUGAAAAUUGAUGAUGUGGCUUUGAAUGGUGCAUGUUGAACGCACAAAAAGUGUGGAGUUGAAAUAAGUUCAAGAACAUGAAAUCCCUUUUGUAACAGAUGAGUUUUCGUUUGAAACCGUGAUACUUCGAAAUAUAUUGUCCAUUUUGUACACGAAGUGCAUCCAGUUUUUGUCGUAACCCUCUCAACUUUUUAGCACAUGCUAUAUGGGUGAAAUGAUUAUACCAUGCCAACUUUCAACCUAUUUAGAGUUCAUCUGUAGUGUUUUUCAAUUUCAGGGUCUUUUAGCUCAAAAUAACCGAUAAAUGCAUGAAAAAUACCUAAUGAAGUCAGAAAGGGUUGAAAAUUGAUGAUGUGACUUUGAAUGAUGCAUGUUGAACGCGCAAAAAUUGUAGAGUUGAAAUAAGUUCAAAACAUGAAAUCCCUUUGUAACACAUGAGUUUUCGUCCGAACCCCUCAUACUUCAAAAGUGAUUGGCCAUUUUGUACACAAAGUGCAUCCAGCUUUUAUUGUAACCCUCUUGACUUUUUAACACAUGCUAUAUGGGUAAAAUGAUGAUACCAUGCCAACUUUCAACAUAUUCAGAGUUUAUUUGUAGUGGUUUUCAAUUUCAGAGUCAUUCACCUCAAAAUAAUCAGUAAAUGCAUAAAAAAUACCUAAUGAAGUCAGAAAGGGUUAAAAAUUGAUGAUGUGGCUUUGAAUGGUGCAUGUUGAACGCACAAAAAGUCUGGAGUUGAAAUAAGUUCAAAAACAUAAAAUCCCAUUAUAACAGAUUAAUUUUCGUCCAAAACCGUGAUACUUCGAAAGAGAUUGUCCAUUUUAUACACGAAGUGCAUCCAGGUUUUGCCGUAACCCUCUCAAAUUUUUAGCGCAUGCUAUGUGGAUGAAAUUAGGGCUGGACACGAGCCGAGCUUGAUCCGAGCCUGGCUUUGGCUUGCUCUAGAGCGGCUCGGCUUGGCUCGCUCAACCAACGAGCCUACUUCACGCGACUCGACUCGUUUGGGGUAUGGCUCGGCUGAGACCGAGCCGACUCGUUAGCCAUUCGCCCACAAAACCUUUUUACUUACAGAACCUAUGUACGUAUAUAGUCAACAGUUUGUAUUUUUUACAGCAAUUAAACCCAUAUUUUUGAAAAUAAACAGUUUCUAUUGCUAAAAAUGAAACAUCCAGUAGUCUACUGUUUUGAAAAAUGGUCAUAGUAAUGAAAAACAAGCUUUAUUCCACGAAUUCUUCUACGAAAAUUGUAACAAUAUAACGAUAUGAGAGAGAAUUGGGCAGCAUUUUUAUUGAAUUUUGUGCUGCACUUCCUUUGAACUUUUCACAUCAAGGCAUCAACUAUUGACAGCCAAACAAAGAAAUUUUGCAUAGCAUAACACUUACCACUUUAAUAUAAAAGAUGAGAAAAUGUUGAUAGCCAAACAAUGACUAGUGAAAACCACAUAAUACAAAGUUCAUAGUUCAUUACAAGUUCACAACAACAUCAUUUAAGGUACAUAGUUCAUCACAACAAACACAUAAUUCGAAGUUCAUCACAACAUCAUUUAAGGUACAUAGUUCAUCACAACAAACACAUAAUUCGAAGUUCAUCACAACAAAGGAAAUGGCACGACACGAUCACAUUGACCUCAACAAUCCACCUCACGAAUGUCUACAUGUAACAAAUAUUUGUAAACAUAUUAGGAUCAUGUAAAGAUAUGAAAGUUGAAACAUGUCGAAAGAAUAGUUAACAUUUGUUGUUAUCCCCCACAUCAACAAUCUUGGGCAACUUGAUAUUUUCAACAUCAUCCUCCUCAUCUUCAUCCCUCUCCUAAUUAUUUGGAGGUUAGCCACAUACGAUAAAUAGACAGAAACCAUAGAAGAAAAAGAUAGGAACCAUACCACCAGAUUGAAAUCCUUGUGAGAACCUUUGUUAUAACUAGCACCGCGCACCAAGGCUUCCACCAUUUCUGGUUUCAAAGAACCCAUGUAGUCAUCUAAAACCACACAAGUAGACAUAUCUAAGUUCAAGGAUAGGUUGCCAAGUUCACAAGUUAGCAUCAAAGUAACAAGUAGACAUACAUAAAACUCUUCCAUCCAUGCUAAACGUUGAAUCCAAGGACAUAGAGGUAGUCGGGACAGUCAAGAACCUCGUUGCCAUCAUUGCCAAUACGGGGUAUCUAGGUGCAUUCACCAUCCACCAAUCAAGAAGAUUGAACUUAGGAUCCAUUGCCUCAUUCAAGUCAUCUAGAUAGUUUCUAAGCUCAUUUUUUUAUGGUGUUGAUUAAGUGGCUGAUAAGAAGGACUGAAACUCACAAUCCAUAAGUGGCAUUGAGGUACUUCCAUUGCAAUUGUUCUUGGCUGAUGAUCCACUAGCUCUUCCUUCAGCUUGCUUAUUUUUGGCAACAAACUUCUCAUACAAUGUGUCCAACUCUGCGCGCACAAUAUCCUUCUCGGUAUUUUCUUUCCCCACAUCAUACAUUUGGUGAUAGCACCACUCAAUCUACCUCAUCUUGUACCUUGGAUCCAAGAUCGUAGCAAGCACCAUUACAUUGUUUGGCUCAUCCCAGUACUUAUCAAAUUUAUCCAUCACCGCAUCACCCAUUUUCUUGUAGCAUUCAUCAUCAUGAGCCAUGGCUUUUCUCAGAGCAAUCUUGAUGCUCACAAUGUGUGGGUAGAAUAUGUUGGAGGUGGGAUAUAAUUGCCCUGAAAACGCAGUGGUCACACGAGACAUUGAGGCGGGGGUUUCUCUUUAGCCUAUAUAACAACUCAGCGAUUGGGACAUUGCUGGAAUCAUUUGCCAGCUUCCUUGGCAGCCGCAUAGUAACUGCUGCAUUGCCCUUCCCCUUCCCCUUUUGCAUCCCUGAGACCGACAACUUAGUCUUCAUAAUAGAGUCCAAGGUCCUCUCUUUCUCCUUCUCCUUCCCAUUCGUCUUUCCCUUUUCCUUGUCCAUUGUUGUGACGAUAGGACUCUGCACACAUCAGCAAACAACAAACGGUCAAUCAUCAACAUGGUAAACUAAUUACACAUGAAAUCAAUGUAAUUUUCCCAACAAGUAGAUUUUUUCAAGCUGCUAUGCUACAUCAAGUAGAUCAACGACAGCAGAAAAUUUAUUACACAUGGAAUCAAUGAAAUUUUUGAUCUAUACAUCCAUUCUGCUCUACAACUCCAUCCAUCCAUACGGCUCUGCUACAUCUAGCACUAGCUACAAUACAUCCAUCCAUGAUCCAUCCAUCUAGACCUACAUGUACAUGACCUCAUCCAUCGAUCCAACCAUCCAUCCAUCAGAUGCGUCCUAGUUAGACACCUAGGGCUAGCGUCAACACAUGCAGCAAUCCAUCCAUCCAUUGAUCCAACACAUACGUACUAGUUCAGAGAGCUGCGAUAGGAUUGGGAAGGAAGGAUGUACCUGCUCCUGCUCAUCACGUUCGGCGAGGAACCACGGAAGGCGCGUCCGUCUGUGUCCGGUGCGGCGAGGAAAGAUGGCGUCACCGGUAGAUGUCGGUGUGGCGAGGAAACGCCACGUCACUCGUUGUCGUCGAUCCAGUUUUGUGGCGUCGUGAGGGCAUGUACAAUGCAUAGCCUCAGGGUGGUUCCUCGUAUGCCAUGUAGGAUCGGAUGUCGGAAAAAGUAGGUUCGGAUGAGGAAGCGGGAUCCUUUGUAGGAGGCGGGUGCUUGAAGAGAAAAAGUGUGGUCCGGUGUAAAAAGCUGAAAAAGUUGGAGUGAAAAGUAGAGAUGCAUGUGUAUUAGUCUUUAUUUUCUAUUUUUUUUAUGAGGCCCACUAAUGAUAGCUUGUAUUGGAAAGAAAAAAUCAAUAUAGAUGCCUCAAGUUACUUUUUGUCAUGGGGCAUCUGUAUCCAUAUGCCACCAUUGUACAUGCCCUGAGAGAGGGGCGAGGGCGUGGAGGCGCAGAGCAGGUAAACUGGGAAAGGGAUAGACUGGCGGCCGGUGUGGCUCUCGUUCGCGAAACGUGACCUAAUUCCCUCGCGAUUGGGAUGAAAGAUGAAUUGGGCUGGGCCACAAGCGAGUCACCGAGCUGGACUGGCCCAAACUCGGCUUGGCUCGGUCGCGAAUCGGGCCUCUUUUCAGAACUCGGCCCGCUCAAUUAUUCUACCGAGCCGGGUUGUAUCGGGCCGAGCUGCAACAAGGUUCGGGCCGAGCUGAAAAGCUCGUUCGUACAUCCAGUCCUAGGUGAAAUGAUGAUAUCAUACCAAUUUUCAACCUAUUUAGAAUUCAUUUGUAGUGUUUUUCAAUUUCAAAGUUAUUUAGCUCAAAAUAAUCAGUAAAUGCAUGAAAAAUACCUAAUGAAGUCAGAAAGGGUUGAAAAUUGAUGAUGUGGCUUUGAAUGGUGCAUGUUGAACGCACAAAAAGUCUGGAGUUGAAAUAAGUUUAGAAAAAUGAAAUCCCUUUGUAACACAUGAGUUUUCGUCCGAAAUCGUGAUACUUCGAAAGAGAUUGUCCAUUUUGUACACGAAGUGCAUCUAGUUUUUGUUGUCACCUUAACAACUUUUUGGCACAUGCUAUGUGGGUGAAAUGAUGAUACCGUGCCAACUUUCAACCUAUUUAGAGUUCAUUUGUAGUGCUUUUCAAUUUCAAGGUCAUUUAGCUCAAAAUAAUCAGUAAAUUCAUGAAAAAUACCUAAUGAAGUCAAAAAGGGUUGAAAAUUGAUGAUGUGGCUUUGAAUGAUGCAUGUUUAACUCACAAAAAGUCUGGAGUUGAAAUAAGUUAAAAAACAUGAAAUCCCUUUGUAAGAGAUGAGUUUUCGUCCCAAACCAUGAUACUUCGAAAGAGAUUGUUCAUUUUGUAUAUGAAGUGCAUCCAGUUUUUGUCGUAACCCUCUUAACUUUUUAGAACAUGCUGUGUGGGUGAAAUGAUGAUACCAUGCCACCUUUCAACCUAUUGAGAGUUAAUUUCUAGUACUUUUCAAUUUCACGGUCAUUUAGCACAAAAUAAUCAGUAAAUGCAUGGAAAAUACCUAACGAAGUCAGAAGGGUUGAAAAUUGAUGAUGUGGCUUUAAAUGGUGCAUGUUGAAUGCACAAAAAGUCUGGAGUUAAAAUAAGUUCAAAAACAUGAAAUCCCUUUGUAACACAUGAGUUUUCGUGCGAAACCGUGAUAUUCUAAAAGAGAUUGUCCAUUUUGUACACGAAGUGCAUUCAGUUAUUGUCGUAAUCCCUCUCAACUUUUUAACACAUGCUAUGUGGGUGAAAUGGUGAUACCAUACCAACUUUCAACCUAUUCAGAGUUCAUUUUUAGUGUUUUUUAAUUUCAUGGUCAUUUAGCUCAAAAUAAUUACUAAAUGCAUGAAAAAUACCUAAUGAAGUUAGAAAUGGUUGAAAAUUGAUGAUCUGGCUUUUAAUGUUGCAUGUUGAAUGCACAAAAAGUCUGGAGUUGAAAUCAGUAAAAAACAUAAAAUCCCUUUGUAACAGAUGAGUUUUCGUGUGAAACCUUGAUACUUCGAAAGAGAUUGUCCAUUUUAUACACGAAGUGCAUCCAACUUUUGUCGUAACUUUCUCAAUUUUUUAGCACAUGCUAUGUGGGUUAAAUGAAGAUAUCAUGCCAACUUUCAACCUAUUGAUAGUUUAUUUGUAGUGCUUUUCAAUUUCAGGCUCAUUUAGCUUAAAAUAAUCAGUAAAUGCAUGAAAAAUAUCAAAUGAAGUCAUAAAGGGUUGAACUAAAAAGAAUGAACUAAAAAAAUCAAAAAAAAUAUUAAGUAAAAUUAUGAAAGUAUUUAUUUGUUAAAAAGAAUGAACUAAAAAGAAUCAUUAAAAUAUUAACUAAAAAGAAUCAACUAAAACAUUAACUCAAAAGAAUGAACUAAAAAGAAUCAACUAAAAUAUUAACUAAAAUUAUGAAAGUAUUUAUUUGUUAAAAAGAAUGAACUAAAAAGAAUCAAGUAAAGCAUUAACUAAAAAGAACCAAAAAUAUUAACUAAAAUUAUCAAAGUAUUUAUUUGUUAAAAAGAAUGAACUAAAAAGAAUCAACUAAAAAGAAUCAACUAAAAAGAAUGAACUAAAACAUUAACUAAAAAGAAUCAACUAAAAUAUUAACUAAAAUUAUCAAAGUAUUUAUUUGUUAAAAAGAAUGAACUAAAAAGAAUCAAGUAAACCAUUAGCUAAAAAGAAUGAACUAAAAAGAAUUAAAAAUUCAACUAAAAAGAAUUUUCAUAAAGUUUUUUUUGUUAAAAUCUUUAAUAGCAAACUUAAAUAACAGAAAAAUGCCUCCUAAUGGGCCACCACGGCGUGCAUACGACUAGAAACCCUACACGCUAGUUGGGCCAGGAUGCAGACCCGCAACAGGCCCAGUAGGCCCACACGCAGAGAGAGUGCUUUUAGGCCCGUUGACCUGCAUAAGAGAGGAGCUCAAGAGGGCUCGCGAAGCCGCGCUUAUAAACCACCGUGGAUGCUUCUCACCUAGCGAGGUGGGACUAAACAUCCACGCGCCCGACGCCAUGCCAGCCGCAGGAGUUUAGUCCCAUUUGGUGGCCUCAACGGGGACUAAAUGCCCCAUUUAGUCUCGGUUGUAGCCACCAACCUGAACUAAAGGCCUGCGGUUCCCGCCCUUUGCGCUCCUGAGAACGAGCUUUAGUCCUGGUUGGUGGCUGCAAGCGGGACUAAAGGGACUAAAGGUGGGGCUAUAUAAGCGGGACUUUGAAGUUGUCCCAAAUCCACUCCCGCUUUCUUCGAUCUCCUCCUCUCCCCCGACGGCGUUGAGAUGACAUCGACGCCGCGAGGCUACCAGACCUUGUCGUCACCUCCCCGAGGCCUGCCCCGAUGUCGUCCCCCGCUACCCUCGCUGGGCCCGCCCUACCCCGAUGCCGCCGUCGUUGUGUGCCCUGACAUAGCCGUCGUCGUGCCCUGCCCCAACGUCGUCGUCGCCGCGCCCUGCCCCGAUGUCGCCCCGUGCGCUCCCCUCAUCGUCGACCGGCCCCUCCAUCUCCAUCGCUCGCCGGCCCCAAUGAGCUCCUCCAUCUCCAUCGCUCCCUGCGGGCUUUCCUCAAUGCCUUGUAGGACUUUAAAUAGUUGUAGAAAUUGUUCUCGAUGUCGACGAUGCCCGUCACGCAUCCUCGUCGUCGACUCGGUGGUGACAACCUACUUGAGAGGCGUCAGCAUGUCCGGGACUGGGCUCCGUCGGGCUGGCACUGGGAGGUGCUACCUUCUAGGGCACGCAUCUUAGUGAGGAACGAGGCUCCCGUCGUCGACCAGAGCUUAUUUGGUGGCGGUCGCGUGGGACACUUUCAUUACGGAGGCAGCCGGCCUCCUAGGAGGAGGUACUUCGCCGUGUUAGGGAGGAGGACGAGCACGUCCGUUGCUACUUGGUUGCAUUGGACGCCAGGUUCUCCAAUACCUGGCAGGUUCUUCAGGGAUCUCACCCGAGCUAUUAUCCUGUGAUGGUUCCUUCUUUGUGGAUGUUCACCUCCCGCGCCUCAGUACAACGACAACUCUUUGGGUGAUCAGUUUGAUGAGGAACCAUGAGUGAACUAGAUUAUACUACCAGAGAUGUAUUCGAGAUUAUAUUCGAUAAUAUUCGAGAUGUAUUAAGUUGAUUAUUGGUUUUAACUCAAAGAUAAUCUUUUUGCCUCUUGAGAUAUAUUGCACACAAGCGCUUUUGACUUUGUUGCUAGAAAAAAUUAAGCUUUUUAGUGUCGGCAGGUCCAUCACUGCAUGAUUUUUGUCUUUUUGUUGUUGUAGCCUUUAGGAUAGGUUUUUAUUUGUCCAAUGUCCGUGAUUUUUAAUCUUAUAUAGAAUUAUGAACAUAGGAAAUGACGUGGUCCGAUGAUGAUAAGAUCCCUGCAUGCCAUUUGUGCUGGGAUGAUAGGGGUAUAUGUGAUCGUUAUCCUCACCUAUAUAAUGAUAUGCCCUUUACCGUCAAGCUGACGGAUGACUUCCCGAUUAUUACGGUAUGUAUAGACGACAUGUAUUUUUUGUUAGUCAAGUAUGACGUGUUUUUUUUUGCUUUAGUUAACCUUUAAUUUUGUUUUGUACAAUUCGACUAGUGCAUUCCGUGCUAUGCAAGAUUUGUUGUCUUGGACAAGUUUCAUUUUAAAGAGAAGGACAAUACAAAGCCUAAGAUAGCUCACAUAAGAACAAAGCAUUUCACUUUUGUUGUCAAGGUAAAAAAUGAUGAAGAUCACACAUAUUUUGGUUGUUCUAAUUGGAGAGCAUUUUGCAAGGCAUAUGGGUUGAAUGAGGACAUGAACAUUACCUUCGAUCUUGGUAAUGAUGAUGUUCGUGAUAAUAAUAUAGAAAUUUGGGUGCAUGCGAAGGAUGACUUGAUUCCAGUUCUAUCUCCACGUGAGUUUUGUCAACAGAUUUGUUAGGUAAUUUAUAUUGAUUAUUGAAAAGUAUCUUGUACUCAUCCCGAUUAAAUUUCUUUAUUUUCAAUUAUUAGCUUAAUUCCAUGCUACAACAACUACAUGGGAGAUAGUAGAUCGGACCUACUACAAUUAUGGCUCCAACCUUACUUGGUUGGAGAAAAAUCAUCUCAUCUCAUUUAUUCAUGAUGUUGACAAUCAUGCUAAAAAUUACAUGACUCGCAACGUUUAUCAUGAAUAUGUGCCACUAGUGCACCAGUUGAGCCCUUAUAACAUCACUUCAGACAACUUUCCAAAAAAAAUAUACCAUUGCGUCACUAAUCCAUCUUUUUUAUACAUUGUUCUUAAGCAAAACUAGUUUGCUAACUAUAUUAUUACUACAAACAGGUACUCCCGCCAGAGAUCGUGCCUAAAUGUAUGUUUACCACCGUUGAUUUAGAAAUGGUUAGCUUAUGGCCAACCCCGAUUAAUUACCGUGGUAAAUACAGGAUAGCUCAAAGUGAAGACAUUCUGAAAAUCAAAGGAUGGAGAAAUGCAAUACAAGCAUCCAUGAUACCAUUUGGAGAGCAAUCCUUGUGCAUCCCACAAGUUGGAGAUAUUUUAAUCUGUGCUCUUCAAUACGGAGAUGUCAGAGUUCGCCUUUAUUUUGCUUUUUUACGUUGGAGAGGGUAGUAGUUAGUGUUUCAACCUUGUGAUAACUUUGUCAUUUUCCACUAUAAUAACAACCAGAAUGAUGAGGAGUUCAUCUUUUUAUGCUAUUUUACCUAGAAUGAUGAAUAGUUUUUUAACUAGUAUGUACAAUGAUGAGGAGUAAUAUACGAUGUCAUGUAAUGCUUUAUGUACGUACUAGCUAGCGUCUAGUUGACAUCGACCGAAAACACCAACAAGCAUAAGGAACCAAAGAUGAUGGACACAAAAAUAAAAAGGGGAAACACAAUAUGAAACCCCUAAUAAAACCCUCCAAAACCCCUAACCCCCCUUCCUUUAAAAAAAAUGCAACGCGUGGCUGCCUUUGGAUCCCGGUUGGUAUUACCAACCGGGACUAAAGGUCCUCCUGCCCGCAGCGGCCACGUGGAGCUCAUUUGGGUCUGGUUCGUAAGCCCAUCGGGACUAAAGGUUUGGGCCUUUAGUCCCAAUGGCUUUGUCCCGGUUGAAGAACCAGGACUAAAUGCCUUGUGAAACUGGGACUAAUGGCCCUUUUCCUACUAGUGGUCCCAACCGGUAACUAAGUUUGAAUCAUAGACUCAUCUAGAAAGAUGGUUCCUGCCAAGGUGAUGUGGUAUGCUCCUAUAAUACCAUAGUUGAAACGUUUGUUCAGAAACAAAAAAGCAUGCCGAGUUGAUGCAAUGGCACAUAAAAGACCGUAAGAAAGACGGGAAGUUGAGAGCACCCGUUGACGGGUCAUAGUGGAGAAAGAUCGAGAGGAAGUGGAGCGACUUUACACGUUACCCAAGGAACGUAUGGUUUGGUUUAAGUGCAGAUGGCGUUAAUCCUUUUGGGGAGCAGAGCAGCAAGCAUAGCACAUGGCCUGUGACUCUAUGUAUGUAUAACCUUCCUCCUUGGUUGUGCAUGAAGCAGAAGUUCAUUAUGAUGCCAGUGCUCAUCCAAGGCCCUAGGCAACCCGACAAUGACAUUGAUGUGUACCUAAGGCCAUUAGUUGAUGAACUUUUAUAGCUAUGGAAUGGAAAUGGUGUACGUUUGUGGGAUGAGAACGAACAGGAGGAAUUUGACCUACAUGUGUUGCUGUUUGUAACCAUCAACUAUUGGCCUGCUCUCAGUAACAUUUCAGGACUGACAAACAAGGGAUAAAACACAUGCACACACUGUUUAGAUGACACCGACAGUAUAUAUUUGGACAAAUGCAGGAAGAACGUGUACAUGGGGCAUCGUCGAUUUCUUUCGACCAACCAUCAAUGUCGAAAGAAAGGAAAGCAUUUCAAAGGUGAGGCAGAUCACUCGAAGAAGCCCACCCUCUGUACCGGUGAUCACAUACUUGAUAUGGUCAAUGAUUUACAAGUAAUCUUUGGAAAGGGUCCUGGCGGACUAUGUGUUCCGAAUGACGAUGCGGGACACGCACCCAUGUGGAAGAAGAAAUCUAUAUUUUGGGACCUACCCUAUUGGAAAGACCUAGAGGUCCGCUCGAGCUUGACCACCCUACAGGUGAAGAUGAGAAUAAGUUGGUUCAUGCUUUGAGGAGUACAUGUUUAUGGCCGAAGGAGUACAUCAAGCUUCCAAACUGGACGCCUCCUCCUCCUCCGACGACGAAUGAUUAGGGCACUCCUCAUCCUCCUCCGGUGACUGAUCAGGGCACUCCUCAUCCUCCUCCGGCGAAUGAUCCGGGCACUACGGCCCCUCCGACGCAUGAGGGCACUCCGCCUUCUUCUUCGGCUCCUCCUCCGGCACGUGAUGGCACUCUGCCUCCUCCUUCGACUCCUCCUCCGAUGCGUCGGAGCAGUCCGCCUCCUUCUUCCGCUCCUCCUCCGGCGCGUGAGGGCACUCCGCCUCCUUCUUCGACUCCUCCUCCGGCGCGUCGGAGCAGUCCGCCUCCUACUUCGUCUCCUCCUCCGGCGCGUCGGAGCACUCCGCCUCCUUCUUCGGCUCCUCCUCCAGCGCGUCGGAGCAGUCCUCCUCCUUUGGCUCCUCCUCAGGCGCGUCAUAGCAGUCCUCCUCCUUCGGCUCCUCCUCAGGGGUGUCGAAGCAGUCCUCCUCCUUUGGCUCCUCCUGAGGCGCGUCGGAGCAGUCCGCCUCCUCCGCAACAGCGGAAGACAGACGUCGUCGCCUCUCCGCCGAAAAUUACACAAGUAAGAAAGAUGCCGCCUCCUCCUGCUUCUCUCAAGCGGAAGACAGACUCCGCCGCCACUCUGGCGGCUAGCAGUGAUGCAAUGUUAGCAAAACAAAGAAGUGGGAAAACAAUUCCCCAGCUCGGCCAACAAAAGAAGUAAUCGUGCCCCCCGGUCAAGGUGUCUAGCUAUAUCGUCAUCGCUAAUGAUUCGGGGUUGCUGCCCGGUGCCAAUCCUGGUGAUUACGUGAACGAUUCAGUAAUUUUUGAGACAACUGAGGUAACAAAUAAAGAAACAUAUGAAUACGUGCUCGGGAAGCCUCUCGUCAAACCUGAUCAUCCUCCUCUAACACCGAGGAUGCACGAAUUACAUGAGUGGUACAUGAACAUCUUCAGGGAGACUAGGAAAGACUCUAUCCAUACGAGAGUGAAAAAAGAUCACGAUUUCAUUGGAACUUCAGUGCUGCUUGUUCAAUUUGAGGAGUUAUUUCAGUUAUACGAUCAACUGGCCCUCGACAAACAACUCCUGACUUCCUACUGUUUGUAAGUAUUACUUCUAUAGUUAAGUCUCUAGAUCAACUCGUUCAUUGCAUGUAUCUAUAAUUAUCCUCACUAUAUAUAUUAUGCAGAUUGAAGAUCGUCGAAUUAAAAAAAGCAGGAAUCUUCGACGUUGGGUUCAUUAGCCAAGAAUCGGUAAAUGUAUUGUCGGUAUGAAAUGAAACCAAAGAGACUGAGGUUAAGUUGCUAAAGUCGUUGCUUGCAAAUCAAAACAAAAGGGAAAUGCUCUUUCCUUACAAAUUCAAGUGAGUGUUGUUGUCUUCUCUGUAUACUCGGUUUCGCUUACUGGAGGUUAAGUAAAUGUACUUGAUGAGUUAUAUAUGCAUGCACAAUUACCACUUUAUUCUGCUAUCCAUUAAGCUUGACGGGGCAAAAGUAACUGUCUUAGACUCGAGACAUAAAGAUCCCGAGGAUUAUGCGGACAUGAUUGCAAUGCUCAAGAAGUAAGUUUAGUCAAUAACGGUACCAUACCAGCAUGCAACUUUCAUUAAUUUCCUGAUAUAAAGUAAUCAUUUUCUUUGCCUGGCAGGGUUUGGAAGAAGUUCACCAAAAAGGCUCCCGGUCUAAACAAAGAGUUGCAAUUUACGCAACCCCCAGUAAGUAGUACUAGCUAGUUCCGCGCAUCUCUAAUUGAUUCAAAUUUUCAUCAAUAUAUCAUUACCAUGCUUGCUUAUCAGUUUGAUUGAACUCUAUUCUCGUAAAGUGCUUGUACCAGGUAGCUGGGACUGAAAAUUGUGCAUACUACAUAUGCGAGUUCAUUCACCUCUCGACCUCUAGGUGGGUCAUCUCUAACGAACAAUUUGAAGUACAUAAAUAAUAUUCACAAUUUUAUUUUAUAUAUUACCAUCAAUUGUGUUGAGUUUUAUUCAUAUAUAUGCAUGUAUUGACCCCCUUCUUUAAAUUAGAUCUGGAAGAAGCGGGAUGAACCCCUAUCAGAUGAUGGCAUACGAGCAAUUCAAGAGGAAUUGGUGUGAUUCUUUCUUGACCACGCCAUACCUAAAGACGGAGAAUACCAUGUGAGCUAUUUGUGAUUGGAUUUUAGGUAGCUUAUGUUAGGAUUUGUAAAAGAUGUUAUAUUGUAAAAGAUGUUAAGGAUUGUAAAUGGUUUCCUUCAUUUUCUUAUUAGCUAGCUUUAUGUUCUCUCUAUAUGUAUAUUAACUAGCGUCGACCAAGCACGGAGAAAGAGAGGACACUUCUCUCUAUUAGCUAGCUAACACAAUAUGAAACCACUAAAUUAACCCUCCACCCCCCCUUCAAAAAAACAAAAACCCCAGCUCCGGCCAGAUGCUGACGCGUGGAUGCCAUGUUAUCCCUGUUGGUGUGACCAACCGGGACUAAAGGCCCUCCUGCCCAGGCUCCCCGCAGCGGCCAUGUGGAGACCAUUCGGCCCCGGUUCGUAAGCGAACCGGGACUAAAAGUUUCGCGCUUUAGUUCCGACCAUUUAGUUCUGGUUCAAGAACCGGGGCUAAUGGGCCUCUGGAACCGGAACAAAUGGGUCAUUUUCUACUAGUGAUCAGCCGAGAGUCUGCCAUACUUCUCUUGAUCUUUCAUAACGUAGGAUUAUAUGUUUAAUAUAUUCUCUUCCUUUUUCACAUACCAGACAUUAUGACGAGACCUUGAUGUGUGUGCACCAAGGCUGCAUGCACAGGCACCGUGCCAUGUAAGGUUUUCCAAGCAAAUAUUUUCACCUUUCUAGGCACCCUAACUAAGAUUCCAUAAUGUCCCAUAGAAGGUUGGUGGUUGAUGCCCCUUGACCAUUACUUCCCCUUAAUUUUUUCCCAAAUUGGUGGAUUCAUUCACAAUAAUAAGCUGACUGUGUUGUAAAAGAACAAGACUAGGUGAGGUUCCAUGCCACAAAGUCUUCCAUCGCAUUGACAUUUAGUUAAAUCUACACGAUAAUCUCGGCAUCCACUAGAGAGAAAAUAUGUGUAAUUAACAUUUUAUCCCAUUGCCCCGAAUAGGGGUCAAUCAACUCUUCAACCUUAGUAUUUCUCUUCCCUCACACACCCCGCAAAGUUAAUCUAGCAACAAGAAGUAUCACCUUAAUGGUGGACGUAGGUAGUUAGAGUUCUCUAGAAACCCUAGAAGCUGGUAACUAAUAUUUUUCAAAACAAUUAGAGGACGUCUAGCUUGUUUUUGUAGGAUGCAUGUGAUAUGGUAUAGCCUUUGUCAUGUUUAUGAGUUAAUUUAUGAGAUGAUUAUAUGAUGUAACAUUAAGUGACAUGCGCUGUCACGCCCAAGAUGCGACCCUAUCCUCAAUUUGGCACGAGGGUCUCGUCAGGGAUAGAAGCGCAUCUCGUCGUGUCGCAAGAAUGGAUAUCGUUACAAGUACACGUACUGAAAAGAAGAGAUAUAUAAUAGAAUUGGCUUACACUCGCCACAAGCUACAUCAGAGCCACAUCAGUACAUUACAUAAUCAUCAAGAGUAAGAGCAGGGUCCGUCUAUAGACAAAAACAAACGAGAAAAUAAGAACGACGUCCAUCCUUGCUAUCCCAGGUUGCCGGCCUGGAACCCAUCCUAGAUCGAUGAAGAAGAAGAAGAAGAAGCAACUCCAAAUGAACAAUCAACGCGCUCGCUUCGAGUAACCUUUACCUGGACCUGCAACUGGUGUUGUAGUAAUCUAUGAGCCACAUGGGACUCAACAAUCUCAUUUACAAAGGUAUCAAGACUAGCAAAGCUUAAUGGGUGAGGCAUGGUUAAGUAGUGAGGUUGCAGCAGCGGCUAAGCAUAUAUUUGGUGGCUAAACUUACGAGUACAAGAAAUAAGAGGGGGAAGAUCUACGCAUAGCGGACGUGAACUACGAUUGAUCAAACGAAUGAUCCUGAACACCUACCUAUGUCAGACAUAACUCCACCGUGUCCUCGGUCGGAGAAAGAGCUCACGAAAGAGACAUUUACGCACACAGUUGCAUAUUUUAAUUAAGUUAACUUCAAGUUAUCUAGAACCAGUGUUAAACAAAGUUUCCAUGUUGCCACAUAACCGCGGGCACGACUUUCCGAAAAGAUUUAACCCUGCAGGGGUGCUCCAACUAGUCCAUCACAAAUUACCACAAGCCGCAUAGAAAUCCUCAAUCACGAAGCUCACGAUCUCGUCGGAUUCCCUAGUGGAAAACCUCAACUCUUAGAAUACCCAAAGCAUCACCGGAAUCCCGAUGCACAAGAUAUUCCGUCAAAGAUAAAACUAAUCCAGCAAGGCCGCCCGACGUGUCGACGAACCCGAUAGGAGCAUCGUAUCUCGUUCUCAGGACACGACGGAUGAGCGAUGGUUACCACGCCAAACGCCGAGUUGCCCCGGGUAGCGUUAAUAAGCUCCUUUGUUUUGGACCAACACUCAUGAGGAGCACUGGCCCGGGGGUUGAUUAAAUUAUCCUCGGGUUAAUUACUCCCUAUGCAGUUCAUUAGUUAUUAGGAAAAUGUAGUACCAAAGUUGGGCCUUGCCAGACCAGCUUUAAUCUAAAACAAAUUAUCAAGGGGGUCCCCAUAACAACCCCGAACGUGUUAGGAGCGCUCAAUUAUGGAACAUAACACCGGUAGCCGAAAACUAAGGGGGCAAAGGUGGAACAAAACACCAGGCUAGAAAGGCCGAGCCUUCCACCUUUUACCAAGUAUAUAGGUGCAUUAAAUUAAAUAGCAUUUAAUAUGGUGAUAUAACAAGGAAGCCAUGUUAUCACAUGGAAGCAACUGCACGUGCAACUAGCAACGCUAACAACAUGGUUAAGCAAGCAGUAACAUAGCCAAACAGUGGUUUGCUAGGUUGAACAGGUUGAAGGUUUUCAUGGAAUUGUUGAGAGGCUAAUAUUUAACAUGUGGUAGGCAACGAGACAUAAACGGUAGCAACGGUAAAACUAGCAUGGCAAUGAUAGUAAUGAUAUCUGGGGAAAUGGUCAUCUUGCCUGAGAUCCCGCUUGGAAGAAGAACAACUCCGAGAAGUCGGCGAACCAACGUAGUCAAACGGGUCCUCACAUUCCGACACGCUUGCGGAACUCUAUUGAGACGGAGCAAACCGAAAACAAACAUCAACACAGAUAUUCACCACACGAUGCACAACAUGAUGCACAACCUAAUAUGAUGCAUGAACAGAUCAAUGAUGCAAGGCAUGGCAUGGCAAUUCACCUCACUCAAACAC
This 35729-nucleotide long non-coding RNA is filed under the name Hordeum vulgare. Its description in RNAcentral is "long non-coding RNA (HVUL_LNC007716)". The stretch from base 9776 to 9911 matches the Rfam family "MIR1120/MIR1122 microRNA precursor family". The record is from RNAcentral. Lineage: Eukaryota; Viridiplantae; Streptophyta; Magnoliopsida; Poales; Poaceae.